This 73-nucleotide transfer RNA is filed under the name Phycisphaerae bacterium. Its description in RNAcentral is "tRNA-Gln". It matches the Rfam family "tRNA". Rfam says of the family: Transfer RNA (tRNA) molecules are approximately 80 nucleotides in length. Their secondary structure includes four short double-helical elements and three loops (D, anti-codon, and T loops). RNAcentral also lists the same sequence under 1 other name. Lineage: Bacteria; Pseudomonadati; Planctomycetota; Phycisphaerae. The record is from RNAcentral.
UGGGCUGUGGUGCAAUCGGUAGCACGUCUGACUCUGGAUCAGAAGGUUCCAGGUUCGAGUCCUGGCAGCCCAG